AUAAAUUUCUUGUUAGUAAAGUUUGUAAAAAUGAAGUAAAGAAAAAUAAUUUUAAAUAAAUUUUGUUAGUAUUUUUUAAAGAAAUUUUUUAAUAACGAUAGUGUAUUAGUAUUGUAAAAGAAAGUUUAAAUAAUAAAUUUGACGUGAUUUAAAGUAGGAUUUAAAAUUUGUACCUUGUGUAUUAGGGAUAAUUAAAAUUGAUUAUUUAUUAUAUGAAUCUCGAAAAAAAAAUAGUUAAAUUUAUCAAAUAAUUACGGUAGUAAAAGUAUUAUUAACAUAAUUUUAAACGUGAAAAGUUCGUCGGGUUUUUAUAUCUAGUUCUUUAAGAAAAAAUUUAAUUUUUUAUGUAUACUGUAUUUUGUAUAUGUAAAAGGAGUAGGAGGGUAGAGCUUCUUAUUCUAUUGAUUUAUACCAUAAUUAGGAAAUUUAUAUUAUUUAAACUAAGCUUAAUAGUGGCUAUGUUUUUAAAGUUUUAAAACUAAUAAUAUUGUUGUUAAAUAUUUUUAUUAAUUUAGUGUAAUAUUAAGGUAAUGAUUAAAAUAAAAUUUAUUAGGUAAAAUUGAUUAUAUUAGUAGAAGAAUAGUUUAGAAAAAAAAAGUAAAAUAAUAAAUAACUUUUAUGUAUUUUUUUAUAAAGAAAAGGAACUCGGCAAAUAUUUUUACUUGCCUGUUUAUCAAAAACAUGUCUAUUUGGUGGAGAUAUAAAUAGUCUGGCCUGCCCACUGAAAUAUUUAAAGGGCCGCGGUAUUUUAACCGUGCAAAGGUAGCAUAAUCACUAGUCUUUUAAAUGGAGACUUGAAUGAAUGGUUGAACAAAUAAAUAGCUGUCUUUUUUUUAAAAUUUGAAUUUAACUUUUAAGUGAAAAGGCUUAAAUAUUUCAGGGGGACGAUAAGACCCUAUAAAUCUUAUAUAUAAAUGUUUAAUUUUUAUUGAUAAAUUGUUUUAUAGUUUAAAUUAAAUAAUAUAUUGUAUUGGGGCGAUAAAAGUAUAAUUAAUAUAACUGCUUAUUUUUGAAUACUAAUAUAUUUGAUUAUUAUUAAUGAUCCUUUAAAAGAUUUGAAGAUUAAGUUACUUUAGGGAUAACAGCGUUAUUUUUUUUGAGAGUUCUUAUCGAAAAAAAAGUUUGCGACCUCGAUGUUGAAUUAAAAUUUCUUUAUGGUGUAGUCUUUAUAAAAGAAGGUCUGUUCGACCUUUAAAAUUUUACAUGAUUUGAGUUCAGACCGGCGUGAGCCAGGUUGGUUUCUAUCUCUUGAUAUUUGUUAAAUUAUUUUAGUACGAAAGGAUUAAGUAAUUUAAAUAAUUUUUAAUGAUUAGAUUAUUUU
RNAcentral lists this ribosomal RNA (1321 nucleotides) under Homola orientalis. RNAcentral's name for it is "16S ribosomal RNA". The stretch from base 618 to 1321 matches the Rfam family "Archaeal large subunit ribosomal RNA", at positions 1423 to 2802 of the family's 2987-position model. The record is from RNAcentral. Lineage: Eukaryota; Metazoa; Arthropoda; Malacostraca; Decapoda; Homolidae.